AGAGUUUGAUCCUGGCUCAGAAUCAACGCUGGCGGCGCGCUUAACACAUGCAAGUCGCACGAGAAAGUGGAGCAAUCCAUGAGUAAAGUGGCGUACGGGUGAGUAACACGUGGAUCAUCUACCUCUUAGUGGGGAAUAACCCUGGGAAACCGGGGCUAAUACCGCAUAAGCCUGAGAAGGGAAAGCAGCAAUGCGCUGAGAGAGGAGUCCGCGGCCGAUUAGCUAGUUGGUAGGGUAAUGGCCUACCAAGGCAAUGAUCGGUAGCCGGCCUGAGAGGGCACACGGCCACACUGGCACUGAAACACGGGCCAGACUCCUACGGGAGGCAGCAGUGGGGAAUCUUGCACAAUGGAGGAAACUCUGAUGCAGCGACGCCGCGUGAGCGAUGAAGCCCUUCGGGGUGUAAAGCUCUUUCGACGGGAACGAUAAUGACGGUACCCGGAGAAGAAGCUGCGGCUAACUACGUGCCAGCAGCCGCGGUAAUACGUAGGCAGCAAGCGUUGUUCGGAAUUACUGGGCGUAAAGAGUGUGUAGGCGGUUCUCUAUGUUCGGUGUGAAAUCUCCCGGCUUAACUGGGAGGGUGCGCCGAAAACUGGAGGGCUUGAGUAUGGGAGAGGAAAGCGGAAUUCCUGGUGUAGCGGUGAAAUGCGUAGAUAUCAGGAGGAACACCUGCGGUGUAGACGGCUUUCUGGACCAUCACUGACGCUGAGACACGAAAGCGUGGGUAGCAAACAGGAUUAGAUACCCUAGUAGUCC
RNAcentral lists this ribosomal RNA (756 nucleotides) under uncultured bacterium. RNAcentral's name for it is "bacterial SSU rRNA". It matches the Rfam family "Bacterial small subunit ribosomal RNA", at positions 8 to 796 of the family's 1533-position model. The record is from RNAcentral.